Astyanax mexicanus (Mexican tetra) is the source of this 1348-nucleotide long non-coding RNA. RefSeq lists it as uncharacterized. Lineage: Eukaryota; Metazoa; Chordata; Actinopteri; Characiformes; Acestrorhamphidae. The transcript is spliced from 2 exons. The record is from RefSeq and is a predicted model, not a curated record.
GGACUUUUAUUUUGAAGUUCGGUGGUGGGGGCGGCCAUUUUAGAGGGGCAUUUUAGUCUCGCGGUAGUUUGCCAAGGAUCGUUUGGUCUCGUUGGGUCACCGGUGGGCCGCAGGCACGGUGUGUAGUACCGGUAACUGGUUUAAUGCGGAUAAUUAUAUCCUUGUUUUAUAACUCGAGUGAGUUUUUUUAGAAAAUAGACUGUUGCGAUUCUGGAUCCGAGGUGUGAAACCUCCUGAGGGGAGUGAGGAGCUUCUGGAGUGGAGGGAGACUGCGUGAGCUUGUGUAUGAGCUAACCAUAUGAGGGUAUGUUGUGCUUUCUGCCUUAUAAAAGUUUAGCAGGUUUUAACUGUUUAGACUUAUAUAUAUAUAUAUACACGGUGUUUAGAUUGCAGGAGGGUGAUUGCGAGGCUGCCUAGGAGAGCUUAGCGUGGGCAUUUAUUAUCAGUGAGAGCUUCACCUGGAGGGUGGGCAGGAGCUGAAGGAAUACUCUUAAUUGGGCAAAUACUGCUGUUGCACAGGUAAAUAUUGAAGUUAAAAUAAGCUAAUACUGAUUUUUAAGAAAAACUCAAAGGAAUAAUUGGGUACUUGUGUCUAUGUGUGCCUUACAGGAUGGCGCAUGCCUGUGAUAGUAGCCACUGUUCUACAUACUGUUUUUAGAAUGUUUUAUUAUAUAGUUUAAUUCUAGUGUUAUACUCCCUGCUGUAGUCUCAACCUUGUGGGAGACCCAGUCCUAGUCCUAACUAGAAUUUGGUUGAUAUAACCCAAAAUACCGAUUUAACCUACUGCUGAUAUUAGUGGGGUGCCUGAAUCAACCCAAGUUACUAAUUCAAUAAUGGUUAGGUUUCCUUUUUUUUUUUUAUGGAGUAUAACCUCAGUAAGCUCUGAGUAAUUGGGAUUCACCUCAGUAUUGUAUUUGGUUUUCAAUUCUGGAUGUAUGGGUUUAAUGAGUGUGUAUAUUUAUUUUUCUAAGUUUGGGAUUUGCUUUGUGUAGGUUGUGAUUUUUUUUUCUUUUUUUUUUGUUAUUUUCAUCGCAGUAUAUUUAUAUGCAUGUGAGUGUAGUGUGAGGUGAUACAGCCGUACUGAGUGUGAGCCCUUGGUUGCUCGAGAUUAAAGUGGGUACAUUCCUCUUUCUUGGGGAACCACCAUUUGAUACUUGAAUAAUUUUAUUGUCUUGGAACAUUUUUUAGCUACCCUAAUAAAAUUAUCUACGUUUUAUUUUAUAAUCUAAAUACUGAAUGAGUAAAAUUGUGUUUAUAGAAUUGUGUAUGGUUGUUUACCCCGUUGUGGGUUGAGAGUGUACUCUGACAUUUAAAAACAAGAAAAUAAAGAUUCCUUGUUUGCAUCAGA